UGGCUCAGUUGGUAGAGCAUGGUGUUUGCAACGCCAGGGUUGUGGUUUCGAUUCCCAC
Salmo salar (Atlantic salmon) is the source of this 58-nucleotide non-coding RNA. The record is from Rfam. Lineage: Eukaryota; Metazoa; Chordata; Actinopteri; Salmoniformes; Salmonidae.